This 497-nucleotide ribosomal RNA is filed under the name uncultured bacterium. RNAcentral describes it as "partial 16S ribosomal RNA". It matches the Rfam family "Bacterial small subunit ribosomal RNA", at positions 28 to 507 of the family's 1533-position model. The record is from RNAcentral.
GAUGAACGCUGGCGGCGUGCCUAAUACAUGCAAGUCGAGCGAACAGAUAAGGAGCUUGCUCCUUUGACGUUAGCGGCGGACGGGUGAGUAACACGUGGGUAACCUACCUAUAAGACUGGGAUAACUUCGGGAAACCGGAGCUAAUACCGGAUAAUAUUUCGAACCGCAUGGUUCGAUAGUGAAAGAUGGUUUUGCUAUCACUUAUAGAUGGACCCGCGCCGUAUUAGCUAGUUGGUAAGGUAACGGCUUACCAAGGCGACGAUACGUAGCCGACCUGAGAGGGUGAUCGGCCACACUGGAACUGAGACACGGUCCAGACUCCUACGGGAGGCAGCAGUAGGGAAUCUUCCGCAAUGGGCGAAAGCCUGACGGAGCAACGCCGCGUGAGUGAUGAAGGUCUUCGGAUCGUAAAACUCUGUUAUUAGGGAAGAACAUACGUGUAAGUAACUGUGCACGUCCUGACGGUACCUAAUCAGAAAGCCACGGCUAACUACGUG